GAUGAACGCUGGCGGCGUGCUUAACACAUGCAAGUCGAACGGUGAAGGCGGAGCUUGCUCUGCUGGAUCAGUGGCGAACGGGUGAGUAACACGUGAGCAAUCUGCCCCUGACUCUGGGAUAAGCGCUGGAAACGGCGUCUAAUACUGGAUACGAGCUGCGAAGGCAUCUUCAGCAGCUGGAAAGAACUUCGGUCAGGGAUGAGCUCGCGGCCUAUCAGCUUGUUGGUGAGGUAACGGCUCACCAAGGCGUCGACGGGUAGCCGGCCUGAGAGGGUGACCGGCCACACGGGGACGGAGGGAGGCCCCAGACCCGAAGGGGGGGAAAGGGGGGGAAUUUUGACAGAGGGGGGAAGCGCGUGGGACGAAAGCGCGGGGGGGGGAAGACGGGCUUUGGGGUGAAAAACAUUUUUGGGAGGGAAGGAGGAAAAAGUGACGGUACCUAAAAAAAAAGCGCCGGCUAACUACGUG
Molecule: ribosomal RNA, 468 nt
Filed under: uncultured bacterium
Lineage: Bacteria
Description: partial 16S ribosomal RNA
Rfam family: Bacterial small subunit ribosomal RNA
Source: RNAcentral